This 253-nucleotide unclassified non-coding RNA is filed under the name uncultured Parcubacteria group bacterium. RNAcentral's name for it is "contains 16S-23S intergenic spacer region". It matches the Rfam family "Bacterial small subunit ribosomal RNA", at positions 524 to 776 of the family's 1533-position model. The record is from RNAcentral.
UACGAGUGCCUCAAGCGUUACCCGGAAUCACUGGGCGUAAAGGGUGUGUAGGCGGUCAUGUUAGUCUCUUGUUAAAUCUUCGGGCUCAACUCGAAAACCGCGAGGGAAACGGCAUGACUAGAGGAUGGCAGGGGUGUACGGAACUCAUGGUGUAGGGGUGAAAUCCGUUGAUAUCAUGGGGAACACCAAAAGCGAAGGCAGUACACUGGGCCACUCCUGACGCUCAGACACGAAAGCCAGGGUAGCGAACGGG